This 468-nucleotide ribosomal RNA is filed under the name uncultured bacterium. RNAcentral's name for it is "partial 16S ribosomal RNA". It matches the Rfam family "Bacterial small subunit ribosomal RNA", at positions 28 to 507 of the family's 1533-position model. The record is from RNAcentral.
GACGAACGCUGGCGGCGUGCUUAACACAUGCAAGUCGAACGGAAAGGCCCUGCUUUUGGUGGGUGCGCGAGGGGCGAACGGGUGAGUAACACGUGAGUAACCUUCCCCUGACUGUGGGAUAACUUCAGGAAACUGGGGCUAAUACCGGAUAUGAUCUCCUGCUGCAUGGGGUUGGUUGGAAAGUUUGGGCGUUUGGGGAUGGACUCGCGGCUUAUCAGCUUGUUGGUGGGGUAGUGGCUUACCAAGGCUUUGACGGGUGGCCGGCCUGGGAGGGGGACCGGCCACAUUGGGCUUGAGAUAGGGCCAAGCCUCCUACGGGAGCAAGCGGUGGGGAAUAUUGCCCAAUGGCGGGAAGCCUGAUGCAGAACCCCGCGGUGCGGGAUACGGGCUUCCGGGUUGUAAACCGCUUUCGCAUGUGCCGAACCGGGAGUGACGGUACUGGGUAAAGAAGCACCGGCUAACUACGUG